This 464-nucleotide ribosomal RNA is filed under the name uncultured bacterium. RNAcentral describes it as "partial 16S ribosomal RNA". It matches the Rfam family "Bacterial small subunit ribosomal RNA", at positions 338 to 795 of the family's 1533-position model. The record is from RNAcentral.
CCUACGGGUGGCAGCAGUAGGGAAUUUUCGUCAAUGGGCGCAAGCCUGAACGAGCAAUGCCGCGUGAACGAGGAAGGUCUUCGGAUCGUAAAGUUCUGUUGAAGGGGAAAAAGAGCGGAGAGAGGAAAUGAACUCCGAUUGAUAUUACCCUUCGAGGAAGUCACGGCUAACUACGUGCCAGCAGCCGCGGUAAUACGUAGGUGGCGAGCGUUAUCCGGAAUGAUUGGGCGUAAAGGGUUCGUAGGCGGCCUGCAAAGUCUGGGGUGAAAGGUACCGGCUCAACCGGUACAGGCUCUGGAAACUGGCGAGCUAGAGAGCAGGAGAGGGCAGUGGAACUCCAUGUGUAGCGGUAAAAUGCGUAGAUAUAUGGAAGAACACCAGUGGCGAAGGCGGCCGCCUGGCCUGUUACUGACGCUGAGGCACGAAAGCGUGGGGAGCAAAUAGGAUUAGAUACCCGGGUAGUC